RNAcentral lists this unclassified non-coding RNA (515 nucleotides) under Wolffia arrhiza. RNAcentral describes it as "partial external transcribed spacer". Lineage: Eukaryota; Viridiplantae; Streptophyta; Magnoliopsida; Alismatales; Araceae. The record is from RNAcentral.
UGCGGCGUCCGCGGGAUCCCCUGCUAAGUGCAGCCGUCCGCGAUAGCCCCGCCUCCUCAGUUUUCCCUCACGGAGGGUAGAGUUGGGCGGUCUGUGCACAACUAGUCGAAUGAUGGCCAUUUUGACCCUGAACUGAUGAUCGUCGGCUCUCCCUCACCAGCGCUGCGCGCGUGCGGCGGAGAGUCGGCCAGCUGCGGCGCCCCGAGUACCCCACGGACGGCUCACGGGCGUCGGUUGGGUUUUCGGUGCGCCAGCGUGCUAUGCGGAUGCGGUGUAUCGGAUGGCGGCGUUGGGGCGUGUUGGGCCCCUGCGUCCGAUGGUGCGCGUGUGGCCUUCGGGCGGCGGCGCGGGCGCGGCGCUUGCGCGCGAGCCCUGCCGCCGCGCGAAGGCCGGCGCGCGAGAUUCUGGAACGAUCGUCGGCGUUGGGCCAUUCGGUGCCGCCUGCGCCGCGAGGCGCGGUCGGUGCUGUGCGGCCCCGCGCGGGCGUCGUGCGGAGGAAUGCUACCUGGUUGAUC